UACGUAGGUGGCGAGCGUUGUCCGGAUUUACUGGGCGUAAAGAGCGCGCAGGCGGUCGAUCAAGUCGAAUGUGAAAGCCCCCGGCUCAACUGGGGAGGGUCAUUCGAUACUGUCCGACUCGAAGGCAGGAGAGGGAAGCGGAAUUCCCGGUGUAGUGGUGAAAUGCGUAGAUAUCGGGAGGAACACCAGUGGCGAAGGCGGCUUUCUGGCCUGUUCUUGACGCUGAGGCGCGAAAGCCAGGGGAGCAAACGGG
Molecule: ribosomal RNA, 253 nt
Filed under: uncultured bacterium
Lineage: Bacteria
Description: partial 16S ribosomal RNA
Rfam family: Bacterial small subunit ribosomal RNA
Source: RNAcentral